This 253-nucleotide ribosomal RNA is filed under the name uncultured bacterium. RNAcentral describes it as "partial 16S ribosomal RNA". It matches the Rfam family "Bacterial small subunit ribosomal RNA", at positions 524 to 776 of the family's 1533-position model. The record is from RNAcentral.
UACGUAGGAGGCAAGCGUUGUCCGGAGUUACUGGGCGUAAAGCGCACGCAGGCGGUCUUGUCAGUCUGUAGGGACAGGGCACAGCUCAACUGUGUCAGGCUUAUGGAAACUGCAAGACUUGAGGGCUUCAGAGGGAUGGGGAAUUCCGGGUGGAGUGGUGAAAUGCGUAGAUAUCGGGAGGAACACCAGUGGCGAAGGCGACUUCCUGGCCUGUUCUUGACGCUGAGGCGCGAAAGCCAGGGGAGCAAACGGG